RNAcentral lists this transfer RNA (73 nucleotides) under Paramuricea clavata. It matches the Rfam family "tRNA". Rfam says of the family: Transfer RNA (tRNA) molecules are approximately 80 nucleotides in length. Their secondary structure includes four short double-helical elements and three loops (D, anti-codon, and T loops). Lineage: Eukaryota; Metazoa; Cnidaria; Anthozoa; Malacalcyonacea; Plexauridae. The record is from Rfam by way of RNAcentral.
GACCGCGUAGCUCAGUUGGAAGAGCAUUGGGCUAGUAUUCCAAAAGUCGUAGGUUCGAAUCCCGCCGUGGCCA